AGAGUUUUUUCCUGGCUCAGGAUGAACGCUAGCGGCAGGCUUAACACAUGCAAGUCGAGGGGCAGCGGGGAGGAAGCUUGCUUUCUCCGCCGGCGACCGGCGCACGGGUGAGUAACACGUAUGCAACCUGCCCCUGUCAGGGGGACAACCCGCCGAAAGGCGGGCUAAACCCGCGUACAUGCCACCGGGGCAUCCCGGAGGCAGGAAAGGCUUCGGCCGGACAGGGAUGGGCAUGCGGCGCAUUAGGCAGUAGGCGGGGUAACGGCCCACCUAACCGACGAUGCGUAGGGGUUCUGAGAGGAAGGUCCCCCACACUGGUACUGAGACACGGACCAGACUCCUACGGGAGGCAGCAGUGAGGAAUAUUGGUCAAUGGUCGGGAGACUGAACCAGCCAAGCCGCGUGAGGGAGGAAGGUACAGAGUAUCGUAAACCUCUUCUGUCAGGGAACAAAGACUGGGACGCGUCCCCGGAUGAGUGUACCUGAAGAAAAAGCAUCGGCUAACUCCGUGCCAGCAGCCGCGGUAAUACGGAGGAUGCGAGCGUUAUCCGGAUUUAUUGGGUUUAAAGGGUGCGCAGGCGGUCUGUUAAGUCAGCGGUCAAAGCCCGGGGCUCAACCCCGGCCCGCCGUUGAAACUGGCAGUCUCGAGUUGGAGAGAAGUAUGCGGAAUGCGCGGUGUAGCGGUGAAAUGCAUAGAUAUCGCGCAGAACUCCGAUUGCGAAGGCAGCAUGCCGGCUCCACACUGACGCUGAGGCACGAAAGCGUGGGUAUCGAACAGGAUUAGAUACCCUGGUAGUCCACGCAGUAAACGAUGAAUGCUGGCUGUCCGGGGGGACUGACCCCUGGGUGGCGAAGCGAAAGCGAUAAGCAUUCCACCUGGGGAGUACGCCGGCAACGGUGAAACUCAAAGGAAUUGACGGGGGCCCGCACAAGCGGAGGAACAUGUGGUUUAAUUCGAUGAUACGCGAGGAACCUUACCCGGGCUCAAACGGGGAGUGGCGCAGGCAGAGACGCCUGUUUCCCACGGGACACUCCCCGAGGUGCUGCAUGGUUGUCGUCAGCUCGUGCCGUGAGGUGUCGGCUUAAGUGCCAUAACGAGCGCAACCCCCGCGUGCAGUUGCUAACAGUCAACGCUGAGGACUCUGCACGGACUGCCGGCGCAAGCCGCGAGGAAGGCGGGGAUGACGUCAAAUCAGCACGGCCCUUACGUCCGGGGCGACACACGUGUUACAAUGGGUGGUACAGCGGGAAGCCAGGCGGCGACGCCGAGCGGAACCCGAAAUCCACUCUCAGUUCGGAUCGGAGUCUGCAACCCGACUCCGUGAAGCUGGAUUCGCUAGUAAUCGCGCAUCAGCCAUGGCGCGGUGAAUACGUUCCCGGGCCUUGCACACACCGCCCGUCAAG
RNAcentral lists this ribosomal RNA (1404 nucleotides) under uncultured bacterium. RNAcentral describes it as "bacterial SSU rRNA". It matches the Rfam family "Bacterial small subunit ribosomal RNA". The record is from RNAcentral.